Molecule: long non-coding RNA, 744 nt
Filed under: Homo sapiens (human)
Lineage: Eukaryota; Metazoa; Chordata; Mammalia; Primates; Hominidae
Description: HSALNT0175854
Source: RNAcentral
GCAACAAUGAAGACCAUGCCAGGUAGAGGCCAGAGGGGAACUCAGGAGCCCUGCCUCCUAGCCAUGGCCUAGCAACAGAGCCAGGCAGCAUCAGGGGCCCUGUUUGGGAGAGUGCAGGCCCAGCAUCUGCUCCUGAGGGACAGAAUGUCCCUCCCUGAAGCCGACCCAGGACUCCUGGCCCUGAGGAUGGUGCCAGAUCGGAAACAGGCCUGAAGGGUCUGCAGCACACAGCAGGGCAGUCCUUGGGGAAUCAGGUGCUGCCCGCAUUUCCUGCCACGUCAUGGAACCCAGGACAGGGGACCAGCAACGAAACAGAAUGAGAGGGCCUCUUUGGGCCCCCCUUCUGUAGGGGCUGGAAGGGGAGAAGCUGAAUGCCCAGAGGCUCAGGCCCUCCCCAAUGAGAUACAAGACCCAAGGGCAGGGCAGGGGUGAUUCACAGCCUCUGAUCUUUUUCCUCAGAGGACCUGCUCACUCCUGCAGGCUCCAUUUACUGCCUCUACCCAGUUCUCCGUGAGUACUCAGAAAAGAAUUGGGAUUGGAUUCUGGCGCUCAGGCUGGCAGGGUCAAGGAGCCCAGCAGCUCCUAGAAGCUCACAGUUGGCUCGGCUCUCAUCGAUAUUCCAGCAGGAGAGAUUAGCCUUCUAAUGCAGCAGAAUGGUUCAUGGUUAGACAUCUGGAAGAACUUUCCUGACAGGCAACACAUGGGAAUGGGGAGAGCUGUCCAGCUCUGACAUCCUGGAACAAG